AAGCGAAAUGAAACGUAGUGAAAAAAAUGUUUAAAAUUGGGGAUCCGAUUCGAUCCGAUUCGAUCCGAUCCGUUAAGGUUAUCCUUCGGCAUCGACGCGCCUAUCCAGGGCUCCGUGCGGACUUCGUGGACUUACUUUGACUCCUGCUCUCUUCCUCUUCCGUGUCCAACUCAUAUACGAAGAAUCAGGUCUCCAGAAAACGAGCUCCCUAUCUCCACCUUUUUUUGUUUCAGAUACCGAGAUCUUUGCUCUGUUAGUUUAAAUUACAUCACUCCCUUACUACAUUGCGUUGAUUUCACAACAGAAGAUUUGGAAGCGCUGGCGUUGUAAUGGCAUAGGUUUUGUUCCUUCUUGGAAGUACAAAUAUUCAUAACUCCAGAGGGAGCUAGUGCUUUCUGCAAUGGAUAAUGGCAAUGCCGGCCACCGUUUCCGGAGAAUAUCUCGGCAGUCUGUUGCUCAUCUCAAGUUGGACCCAUUGGCAGUAUCAGGACUGAAAGUGAACCUACACAAAUACGAAUUAGUGGUUUUGGACAUCUCCUUGGAUGACAUACUUGUCCGUUUUUUAGAUUGUAAAUUAUCUUAUCUUCUCAUUACUUAUCUUGGUGCUAAAUUCAAAGAUAAAAGCUGUUGGGAUCCGAUAAUUGAUAUGUUUCAUAAUCAUCUUGCAAAUUGGAAGAGGAGAUUCUUAUCCAAGGAAGACAGACUUACACUCAUCAAAAGCACACUCUCAAAUCUUUCCAUCUACCUAUUAUCUGUAUUUAAUAGUCCGAGCAGAGCAGUGUUGCCAACAAAGUCGAGGUCAUACAAUGCAAUUUUCUUUGGGGUGAUGGUGACAACAAUAGCAAAAAACUUCAUCUUGUGAACUGGAAAGAAAUCAAGAAAUCUUUCAAAGAAGAUGGACUCGGUCUAAGAUCAAUUGACAAACUAAAUAAAGCUCUACUUGGAAAAUGGAUAUGAAGAUUUUGGAAUGACAACGACAAGCUUUGGAAAUCAAUCAUUAUGAGUAAAUGGUUCA
Carica papaya (papaya) is the source of this 1015-nucleotide non-coding RNA. The record is from RefSeq and is a predicted model, not a curated record. Lineage: Eukaryota; Viridiplantae; Streptophyta; Magnoliopsida; Brassicales; Caricaceae.